Molecule: long non-coding RNA, 1966 nt
Filed under: Numida meleagris (helmeted guineafowl)
Lineage: Eukaryota; Metazoa; Chordata; Aves; Galliformes; Numididae
Description: lncRNA (ENSNMEG00000004168.1)
Source: RNAcentral
ACAGCCGAACCGUAUCUCAUAGCCACCCUACAGCCAUCCCGUAUCUCAUAGCCAUCCUACAGCCAUCCCAUAUCUCAUAGCCACCCUACAGCCAUCCCACAGCCAUCCCAUAUCUCAUAGCCACCCUACAGCCAUCCCACAGCCGUCCCAUAUCUCAUAGCCACCCUACAGCCAUCCAACAUCUCAUAUCCACCCUACAGCCAUCCCACAGCCAUCUCAUAUCUCAUAACCACCCUACACCCAUCCCAUAUCUCACAGCCAUCCUACACCCAUCCCAUAUCUCAUAGCCACCCUACAGCCAUCAUGUAUCUCAUAUCCACCCUACAGCUAUCCCAUAUUUCAUAUCCACUCUACUGCCAUUGCACAGCCGUCCCCUAUCUCAUAGCCACCCUACAGCCAUCCUACAGCCAUCCCAUAUCUCAUAGCCACCCUACAGCCAUUCCAUAUCACAUAUCCAUCCUACAGCCAUCCCAGAGCCCUCCCAUAUCUCAUAUCCAUCCUACAGCCAUCCCAUAUCUUUUAUCCAUCCCACAUCCAUCCCAUAUUCCUCCUAUCUCCAUCCAACUCAUGUCCAUCCUAUGUCCACCUCUUGUCCACCUCAUGUCCAUCAUAUAUCCACCCAAUUCCGUCCCAUAUCCACCCCAUAUCCAUCCUCUGUCCACCCCAUAUCUACCCCAUAUCCAUCCUCUGUCCACCCCAUAUCCAUCCUGUGUCCACCCCGUAUCCAUCCCAUAUCCAUCCUGUGUCCACCCCGUAUCCAUCCCAUACCCACCCUGUGUCCACCCCAUAUCCACCCCAUAUCCACCCCGUAUCCACCCUGUGUCCACCCCGUAUCCACCCCAUAUCCACCCUGUGUCCACCCCGUAUCCACCCCAUAUCCAUCCUGUGUCCACGCCGUAUCCACCCCAUAUCCACCCUGUGUCCGUCCCUAUAUGGGAACUGCUGAGUCCUGGCCUGAAGCACUGAUUGAGCACCUGGAGGAAAGACCCAGCCAGCCCUGGGAGCGCAGGUGAAGGCAAUGCACCUGUGUGACCAGAAGGGGUGGAGCCUGGCUCCACCCCUCUUAGGCCUCAUUUAAGGGCUGACUGCCCCUGAGGAAGGAUCUCUGCCUGGAGAUCCCUCCUUGGUGGGAGCUUUUUCCUGCGUGCCCCAAAUCUUCCGAUCCGGGUGAGCGCUGUAUUUUCCUUCCCCCUUUUGUAACGCUAUUUCCAUCACGUUAGUCCUGCUUAUCGCUACAAUCCCAUAUCCACCCCGUGUCCACCCCAUAUCCAUCCCAUAUCCAUUCCGUCUGUCCCGUGUCCGUAUAUCCCAUCCCCCUCCACCCCCCAUCCCCAUCCCGUUCCUUUGCCCAGGACACGUGUACCCCUGCAGUGGGCAGGACGCCGUGUCCCCGUCCCCACGGUGUCCCCGUCCCCACGGUGUCCCCGUCCCCACGGUGUCCCCGUCCCCACGGUGUCCCCGUCCCCAUCCCUGUCCCCGUGGUGUUCCCGUCCCCGUCCCCAUCCCUGUCCCCGUGGUGUCCCCGUCCCCAUCCCUGUCCCCAUCCCUAUCCCCACAGUGUCCUCACGGUGUCCCCAUCCCCGUCCCCAUCCCUGUCCCCCCGGUGUCCCCAUCCCUGUCCCCAUCCUCACAGUGUCCCCACGGUGUCCCCACGUUGUCCCUGUGUCCCCGCAGGAGCUGGAGUCCCCGGUGCUGAUGGUGGCCCUGACCUGCUCUGAGGACGGCUCUGCCCCGGUACAGCACCUGCAGCCCUCGGGGUCACCGCGUGUCCCCCCNGGUCACAGUGACAGGGACAGCACGGGUGACAGAGAGAGAUGGCCUCGAGGACAGGGAUGGGGACAGGGACAGGGACGGGGGGCGAGGGGUGGGUGAGGAUGGGGACAGGGACAGAGCUGGAAGAGACAAAGGCACCACAGGGAGGGAUGGGGACACGUGGCCGGGUUUGGGGACACGUGGCCGGGUUUGG